AUGUUCUCUACAUCUCUACUGCUCCUGCUGGCAGCUGCAUCCUGUGUCCACUCUCAGGUUGUUCUCACACAGUCUGAGAGGCCAGUAACAGUGGCUCCAGGUGGCUCGCACAAACUGACCUGUGCCUGCAGUGGAUUCAGUGUGAGCAGCUACAGGAUGCACUGGAUCCGACAGGCUCCUGGAAAAGGACUGGAAUGGAUCAUCGCUUAUCAUUCUGAGAGUUACAAAAGCUCAGCCCAGUCAGUUCAGGGCAGAUUCACAGCAUCCAAGGACAGCUCUAAUCUCUACCUGCACAUGAGUCAACUGAAGCCUGAAAACACUGCAGUGUAUUUCUGUGCUAGAGACUCACUGUGGUGGGAUUCCUAUACGCAGAUGUACAAAAACUAG
This is a non-coding RNA of Colossoma macropomum (tambaqui), 387 nucleotides long. NCBI's taxonomy places the organism in Eukaryota, Metazoa, Chordata, Actinopteri, Characiformes, Serrasalmidae. The record is from the annotation of a RefSeq genome assembly.